AAAAAUGCUUUGUGGAAGAGACCUGGAGCUUUGCCCUUUCUCUGGCUCAAAUUACCCGCCUGUCAGGCCUGACAGAUUUGGCUAAAAAUAAAAGGAAGCGGGCCAUGAAAAGCAGAUGAAUGAGCUCAGCAGUUCCUUAGAUAACACGGGGGCCAGCCUCGCCCAGAGCUUCCAAAACAGGAACGUCAAAUGGUGGGCCUGACAGAUCCCAGGAUAGAGCUUCCAGAGGCCCUUCCCUUCCAGUGUCUUAGAAGUGAUGACCUGGUUAGUCUCUUGGUCACCAAGCUGAGAUGUUUAUCUGGAGCACAGCACGAGAGAACUGAAAAAAGGCUAUGAGGCUGUGUUCUAGAAGAGUUUAUCCCUGAUGUUUUGCCACGAAAAAACUAUUUUCAUUUAUGUCACAUGGCCAUCUGAGUGCUGUUAUUUUCCAAAUCAGGAGCAUCCAGAACACAUUUGAUAAAGAUGCAAAGGUUUUGUUUUGAGACCCUAAGAGUACUGCACCACCUCUGUGGGAAGGAGAGCUGUCCAAUGAGACAACAUAUUUUCAGCAAAUUCAUCAGAGUGAAAUGUUAAGACAAUCCAUCAAACUGUAGUGUUUUCUCCUACCCACAUUCUAUCAUUCUAUCAAUCAGUGGAUGUGAAAGGUGGGUCAAAACAAUAUUAUAAGAUGUUGUUGUGUUGUUGUAUGUAUGUAUUGAAGUCAUUUCUGACUUAUGUUGACCC
Molecule: long non-coding RNA, 723 nt
Organism: Sceloporus undulatus (fence lizard)
Lineage: Eukaryota; Metazoa; Chordata; Lepidosauria; Squamata; Phrynosomatidae
Exons: 4
Source: RefSeq, a predicted model, not a curated record